This 970-nucleotide ribosomal RNA is filed under the name Staphylococcus aureus. RNAcentral's name for it is "bacterial SSU rRNA". It matches the Rfam family "Bacterial small subunit ribosomal RNA", at positions 1 to 952 of the family's 1533-position model. The record is from RNAcentral. Lineage: Bacteria; Bacillati; Bacillota; Bacilli; Caryophanales; Staphylococcaceae.
UUUAUGGAGAGUUUGAUCCUGGCUCAGGAUGAACGCUGGCGGCGUGCCUAAUACAUGCAAGUCGAGCGAACGGACGAGAAGCUUGCUUCUCUGAUGUUAGCGGCGGACGGGUGAGUAACACGUGGAUAACCUACCUAUAAGACUGGGAUAACUUCGGGAAACCGGAGCUAAUACCGGAUAAUAUUUUGAACCGCAUGGUUCAAAAGUGAAAGACGGUCUUGCUGUCACUUAUAGAUGGAUCCGCGCUGCAUUAGCUAGUUGGUAAGGUAACGGCUUACCAAGGCAACGAUGCAUAGCCGACCUGAGAGGGUGAUCGGCCACACUGGAACUGAGACACGGUCCAGACUCCUACGGGAGGCAGCAGUAGGGAAUCUUCCGCAAUGGGCGAAAGCCUGACGGAGCAACGCCGCGUGAGUGAUGAAGGUCUUCGGAUCGUAAAACUCUGUUAUUAGGGAAGAACAUAUGUGUAAGUAACUGUGCACAUCUUGACGGUACCUAAUCAGAAAGCCACGGCUAACUACGUGCCAGCAGCCGCGGUAAUACGUAGGUGGCAAGCGUUAUCCGGAAUUAUUGGGCGUAAAGCGCGCGUAGGCGGUUUUUUAAGUCUGAUGUGAAAGCCCACGGCUCAACCGUGGAGGGUCAUUGGAAACUGGAAAACUUGAGUGCAGAAGAGGAAAGUGGAAUUCCAUGUGUAGCGGUGAAAUGCGCAGAGAUAUGGAGGAACACCAGUGGCGAAGGCGACUUUCUGGUCUGUAACUGACGCUGAUGUGCGAAAGCGUGGGGAUCAAACAGGAUUAGAUACCCUGGUAGUCCACGCCGUAAACGAUGAGUGCUAAGUGUUAGGGGGUUUCCGCCCCUUAGUGCUGCAGCUAACGCAUUAAGCACUCCGCCUGGGGAGUACGACCGCAAGGUUGAAACUCAAAGGAAUUGACGGGGACCCGCACAAGCGGUGGAGCAUGUGGUUUAAUUC